AGCGUUAUCCGGAUUUACUGGGCGUAAAGGGUGCGUAGGCGGUCUUUCAAGUCAGGAGUGAAAGGCUACGGCUCAACCGUAGUAAGCUCUUGAAACUGGGAGACUUGAGUGCAGGAGAGGAGAGUGGAAUUCCUAGUGUAGCGGUGAAAUGCGUAGAUAUUAGGAGGAACACCAGUUGCGAAGGCGGCUCUCUGGACUGUAACUG
Molecule: ribosomal RNA, 205 nt
Filed under: Clostridioides difficile
Lineage: Bacteria; Bacillati; Bacillota; Clostridia; Peptostreptococcales; Peptostreptococcaceae
Description: partial 16S ribosomal RNA
Rfam family: Bacterial small subunit ribosomal RNA
Source: RNAcentral